GAAAUGCGAUAAGUAGUGUGAAUCGCAGAAUUCAGUGAAUCAUCGAAUCUUUGAACGCACAUUGCGCCCUUUGGUAUUCCUUAGGGCAUGCCUGUUCGAGCGUCAUCUAAACCUUCAAGCCCUGCUUGGUGUUGGGUGCCUGUCCCGCCUCCGCGCGCGGACUCACCUCAAAUCCAUUGGCGGCCCCCGCGUCGGCCACGAGCGCAGCAGAAACGCGAACUCGUGAGCCCGUCCGGGCGGCUCCCAGAAGCUACACCCACCCAGUUUGACCUCGGAUCAGGUAGGGAUACCCGCUGAACUUAAGC
This 305-nucleotide unclassified non-coding RNA is filed under the name plant metagenome. RNAcentral describes it as "partial contains 5.8S ribosomal RNA, internal transcribed spacer 2, and large subunit ribosomal RNA". The stretch from base 1 to 105 matches the Rfam family "5.8S ribosomal RNA", at positions 50 to 154 of the family's 154-position model. The record is from RNAcentral.